Molecule: ribosomal RNA, 123 nt
Filed under: Heterobucephalopsis yongi
Lineage: Eukaryota; Metazoa; Platyhelminthes; Trematoda; Strigeidida; Bucephalidae
Description: partial 5.8S ribosomal RNA
Rfam family: 5.8S ribosomal RNA
About the family: 5.8S ribosomal RNA (5.8S rRNA) is a component of the large subunit of the eukaryotic ribosome.
Source: RNAcentral
UGUCGAUGAAGAGUGCAGCCAACUGUGUGAAUUAAUGUGAACUGCGUACUGCUUUGAGCAUCGACAUCUUGAACGCAUAUUGCGGCCAUGGGCUAGCCUGUGGCCACGCCUGUCCGAGGGUCG